GGGGUUCUAGCUCAUCGGUAGAGCGCUCGCUUAGCAUCCUGCUGAGUCAACAUGCGAGAGGUACAGGAUUCGACUCCCUGGUACUCCA
Molecule: transfer RNA, 88 nt
Filed under: Puccinia graminis f. sp. tritici
Lineage: Eukaryota; Fungi; Basidiomycota; Pucciniomycetes; Pucciniales; Pucciniaceae
Also listed under: 1 other name
Description: tRNA-Ala
Rfam family: tRNA
About the family: Transfer RNA (tRNA) molecules are approximately 80 nucleotides in length.
Source: RNAcentral